This is a long non-coding RNA of Aegilops tauschii subsp. strangulata, 1469 nucleotides long. RefSeq lists it as uncharacterized. NCBI's taxonomy places the organism in Eukaryota, Viridiplantae, Streptophyta, Magnoliopsida, Poales, Poaceae. The record is from RefSeq and is a predicted model, not a curated record.
CCAGAUCCCAACGAGGCAACCACGCCGCCACCCACACCCACCCACCACUGGCACCGUAGCCUCGUCUCCUCCCCUCGAUCCACCCUCGCGCCGGCACCGCAGCCUCGUCUCCACGACCUCGUACCAUCCACGCUUGCUCCACAGCGCCUCCGACGACCGCGCCCGGAGCGCGACGGCGCCGCCGUUCCGAGCACUUACGGCGUCGGCCCGGCCCCCAAAACCCUCGCGGCGGCCACGCAUCCCUCCAUCGUUCGCCGUUGUCGCCGCCGCCACGCGAUGCCCGUGGGCAUCUGAUCCAUGUCUCACCCCCACGCCUGCGCCCCCAAGCGUCGUCCUAGGGUUCUGUUCUGCGGCUGACCGGAGUCCAAGCCAUGGCGCGGAAGAUGCUCAAGGACGGGGAGACGCGCGUCAUCGCUGACGGCGGGGGCGUGGAGAGCUACGACUGCGACCUGUUCGUCUGAGAUCCACCGCGUUCGUCCAUCGAGGACAUGAGGACCUUGGAACCAUGGCGACCAUGACCAGCGAACAAAUGGGGCCACCGGGUUCAGCAUCAUCGACUGACCAUAGUCCUUGGCGCUUGCUCAGGAUGCUCCGACGAUCACCAGAAUUCCCUUCAGAGCCAUACUUCAUUUUUUGCUUGGUAUGCUGCUGGUCUGAAUCUACUUACAUGCUUGACUUAAUUUAACUUGGUGCUGAAACAAGCACUCGGUUGGGGCCUCCUGGGCGAUGCCUACGACCGCUGCGGCGAGGUCUGCGCCAAGUACGCCACCUUCUACUUUGCUACUCCACUGAACUACAGUACUGAAGUACUGCUUGAACUACUGCAGUGUUGUUUCCAAUACAGCAGUAUUGGAGUAUUGCUUCCGAUUACUGGAGUAGCAAGUGCAUUAAUAGUAAGAUAGAAUCUGGACGCCCUUCCCUGGUCGAUGACACCCUUCCCUGGUUGACGACACCCUUCCGUCGUGGGCUCUUAGUAGGACGGCGACCCACAAGAUCCACACCCUUGUGGCCCUGUGACCCUCAAGCUCGACGGCUAGAUCCCCUACGGCCAAGCCCUUCUACUCGAGAGUCAAGUCCCAGUCCGACUUCUCUGCUUCCCAGCUGCUCCUUCAGUCCGGCUUCAGCAGCUCACUUCUCACCACGACCAGGAAAUGAAAGAUCGCUCGACAAACGGCCGCUUCCAGUCAGUUGGAUCUGAUCUUAUACCCGCACACGAGAGCUACUGGAGCAGCAGCAGAUUAACAAGGACCCAAGCUGGACUCCCAAGUUCUUCGGCUCAAGGCGCUAAGGUGCUAAUGUGUUGGAGACGUGCCUGUACUUGUUGAGCGUUUUAUCUGUAGAGUGCUAUAUUGUGAUUGGUGUAAUAUUGUAUGGUUAUAUUGUGAUUGGUGGAAUGUAAUAAACUUGAUUGGUAUAUUGGUGAUUUGGCUGUUAUUUGAAUAUAUUUAAAAUGUGUUCUCUGAUUGGUA